ACCAUAUCAACCCACAUCGAUUCCCAUUGAAAGCCGAUGUGAGAUCAACUCCCAUAAAUUGAUAUGGAAUCGUAACAUACCAGUGGAGGGCUAGGGCUGGAAAAGGUGUUGAUCUGUGUACCUUAAUGAAAAUAAAGUUUAUUUUAAUGGUUUUACGCUGUCAACCUGUUGCAUUGUAGAAGCUUUGUUGUCACAGGAUUCUUGUGAAACUUCUUAUGGCAGGUCCAGAUGCCUGUAUUGAAGAUACAUGCAUUUCAGGAGGCAUGUGUGUUCUCUGUUAUCGAAGAACUUGCUGAACACAGAGCUAUUCCAUUGCUUUUUUUGAGUUGGCAUUUAUUCCAACUGUACACGAUUAUGAAGAUUUUGCAAAACAACCAAAAUUAAGAGGUUUCAGCGAGAAAUGAGAGCUUAUUUCUCAGGUUAUUGUUGGAGCACACUCAUCUGUCUUCAGCCAUAAGAAAUAAGAUUCUGAUGAUGAGGACGAUGUUCAGGAUGAACAAGGCACCUGGUUACCAGGAAGCAAUACCAAGAGUGAAAAUCCCAAGCAGGAGAAGUCAAAGAAAAGGAAGAGACAAUGGAAACAGCAAGAAGAGGUGGCUUUAGAUGAGGAUGUUGUGGAGGAUUUGGUAUUAGGUGCAGAUGAAGAUUUGAUGAGUAACAUCCCAUCUGUAGAGGAAGAGGAUAAAUCAAGAUUGGUGUCUUCAAAACAGGGGACACAGAAGCAGUUAUCUUUUGAGGAUUCAUCAAAAAAUAAAGGACACUCCCAUGGCAAGAAGCCAAAGAAGAGGAAGAGAACUAAACAGGAAAAGUAGCAGGUAGUGCACUAGCUUAACAGUGAGGAAACCAACCUUACUGUUCUUCCUAAUCUCUUUGAUGUUCUAGGCUUCUAGCUCUAUUAGAAACUAUAUGAACAGGCUCUCUAACUGUGAUUUAUUAAUUUUCUUAAUACAUACAAAAAUCCAACUGUUCUAACAGGAA
Macadamia integrifolia is the source of this 978-nucleotide long non-coding RNA. RefSeq lists it as uncharacterized. The record is from RefSeq and is a predicted model, not a curated record. Lineage: Eukaryota; Viridiplantae; Streptophyta; Magnoliopsida; Proteales; Proteaceae. The transcript is spliced from 2 exons.